GGGCGGAUGUAGCCAAGUGGAUUAAGGCGGUGGAUUGUGAAUCCACCAUCUGCGA
Molecule: transfer RNA, 55 nt
Filed under: Convolvulus floridus
Lineage: Eukaryota; Viridiplantae; Streptophyta; Magnoliopsida; Solanales; Convolvulaceae
Description: partial tRNA-His
Rfam family: tRNA
About the family: Transfer RNA (tRNA) molecules are approximately 80 nucleotides in length. Their secondary structure includes four short double-helical elements and three loops (D, anti-codon, and T loops).
Source: RNAcentral